GCGCACUCCCAUGUUUGGGCCCCUAUAACCACGACCGGUUGAUAGGGCCAUGGGUUGGAGGUGGGACUUGCCCCACGAACUAUGUCGAGUGUGCGGAGAAUCUCCGAUCCGUAAUGAGUGAUACAAUUGUUAAUAUAAUGUGAACUCGAAUAGGUCGAAUCUCAUGAGAUUGUACUCGCUUUAUGAUAAUUAACUUAAAGCGUUAUGCUGUAUAAAAUUAUUUUAUAUACUCGAUUUAUACAUGUACAAAUUAUAUUAUGAUAUAUUGUGUGUUGCAUUUUUAUCAGUCAAAAGUUUAUCUGCUGGUUCAUAACAGUAGAUAAAGUAAAUAUUUUGCCAUCAGUGUAUAAAAUCACUGUAAUAAUAAAAUAUAAAACGACCAAAGUGACAAAUAAACUAUUAAAUUCAUGUAUAAUUAAGGAAACAAGUGCCUUUAAUAUUAAUAUUAAUUAAAUAUAAGUAGGACUUAGUGUGUAAGUUAUUUGUUAUACCAUUAACUAAACAUUAUACGUUUUGUUAAUAAAAAAAUAAAACAGAUUUUAUAUUCGUAAAAAAAAAAAAAAAAAAAAAAAAAAAAAAAAAAAAAAAAAAAAAAAAAAAAAGGUUAGGUUAGGUUAGGUUAGGUUAGGUUCCCAG
RNAcentral lists this unclassified non-coding RNA (636 nucleotides) under Melitaea cinxia (Glanville fritillary). RNAcentral's name for it is "misc RNA ENSMCXG00005017979.1". The record is from RNAcentral. Lineage: Eukaryota; Metazoa; Arthropoda; Insecta; Lepidoptera; Nymphalidae.